Molecule: long non-coding RNA, 755 nt
Filed under: Cyanistes caeruleus (blue tit)
Lineage: Eukaryota; Metazoa; Chordata; Aves; Passeriformes; Paridae
Description: lncRNA (ENSCCEG00000007368.1)
Source: RNAcentral
ACUGGAAAGAGUAGAAAGGAUUGGAAACAGCAAAUUUGUCAAUGUUUUUCCUCUCUGCCGCGUCGCUGCUGCUUUAGAUUAGCCCUGUCCCCUGCAAUUUGACAGUAGCGCCGUGAACCUGCAGCGUGAGGAUCCCGGGCUAAGAUAGGGAGAAAGGAGGAGGAAUUCAGGGAAUGUUUUCCCUUGGAGCAAGCGGGGAAGCGCAGCCGCUGGGACCCGGGCUGCGGUGACAGCGCUAACACUUCCCAGAGCCGGGGACCCCGCCGCUGGAAUGGCAUUGCCCACCCUGAAAGUGAGAAGGCUUGAAGUGUCCAAGAUCAAAGAGAGGAAAAGCAUUUGCUGCUGGGAAGUGAGGCACACAUCUUUCCUCCCUUGCAAUAAGCUCAUUAAUCUGGCAUGGCAGUGGCUGAUCUGGGGACAUCACACCUUCAAAUGCACUUCAAAUAUCUGGAAGGCCUGUGGUGCUACUGGACGAGGAGCUGAUCCUACGUGGACCUAUGUGAGGACAGCUAAGAGGAUUGGGAUCUUCCCAGUAAUUCCUGCAAAUAAUAAAAUAUCCCACAAAAAUGCUGGAAAAUAUGAAAAGGUCAAUGAAGCAGGGGAAAAGAGCGAUCCAAUGCUUUUUGUGUUGUGUUUUUUUUUCCUUCCCUUUAGGAACAAUGCAUUAUCUGAAAAUCCCACUUUAUAGCUUGGAAUUUGUUUUUGUGUUGGUGACUUUCAGUCACUGAAUAAAGUGCGACCACAGAAAUCGGACA